Molecule: ribosomal RNA, 400 nt
Filed under: uncultured bacterium
Lineage: Bacteria
Description: bacterial SSU rRNA
Rfam family: Bacterial small subunit ribosomal RNA
Source: RNAcentral
UGGGGAAUAUUGCACAAUGGGCGAAAGCCUGAUGCAGCGACGCCGCGUGGGGGAUGAAGGCCUUCGGGUUGUAAACCCCUUUCAGUAGGGAAGAAGCGAGAGUGACGGUACCUGCAGAAGAAGCGCCGGCUAACUACGUGCCAGCAGCCGCGGUAAUACGUAGGGCGCAAGCGUUGUCCGGAAUUAUUGGGCGUAAAGAGCUCGUAGGCGGCUUGUCGCGUCUGCCGUGAAAGUCUGGGGCUUAACCCUAGAAUUGCGGUGGGUACGGGCAGGCUAGAGUGCGGUAGGGGUGACUGGAAUUCCUGGUGUAGCGGUGGAAUGCGCAGAUAUCAGGAGGAACACCGAUGGCGAAGGCAGGUCACUGGGCCGCAACUGACGCUGAGGAGCGAAAGCAUGGGGA